GUGAAACGUCUCUCCUUCCCGUGACCCCUUCGCUAACGCCUCCGCCUUAAAGACUACACUCCCCAGUGACCCAGCAGUGACUCCUGCCUCCGGUGCCGGGCCCACCCCUCGACUGGCGGAAGUGAUGUGCCCGGAAUUCUGCACGCCCAGCCUGAGUCAGCUCUUGAGCACAAGAUCACGUCGUCUUUUGGGGUUAUGUUCAAAACCAUCACCUGGGGGCCGUAUCUUCAUCUCAGCUCUCCUGGUGACCUCCUACAAAUUUCCCUGCUUCGCUGGGCCAGGGGAGGGCAAGGUGGGCCCCUGGCUCCCGCACAUCCUCAAGCCAGCCACCCUGGGGAAGAGCUAACCUGCACAGCCUUACUCUGUGGUCCUGCUGGGCUCCAGUCAAAGCUCCUUUAACACCCACUCACUAGUGGAUUCGACACACACCUGCUGCCUUUGGAUCAGGGUUGAGCUCGGCCCACGUGCACACCUGCCCUCCCCUUAAACUGUUAAGCACAGAUUCCAAGAGAGCCUGGGAUUCUAAAACACCAUUUGAGGUCGGCGUGCGGGUACCAGUUCACACGGGCGGGAGCCGAACUCACCUCUGCCAUCACCCAGGUUUCCUGGGCUGCGGCACGUGGGGUCAGAGCCUCCAGGCACCUUCAGGUAGGAGACCAACACAGAGACAAAGCUGCUUCUGUAAUCGUGGCCCCUGUGUAGAAGUCUCCAGCAUCUCAUGACUGUGAGGAGCAGAGCCAGGAUUCAAACCCAGGUGCGCCCAGUUCCAGAGACGGCACAGAGCUGGGCCAGGAGAGUGGACUUGGUGCUCGGGCUGCCGUGGGAGCUCGUCGCCCACAGCAGAGGGGACAAGCCAGCAGCCUCGGGCUCCAGUGGUCCAAAGACAAGUCUUCCUUGGUGUGUGCUAUACUUAAAGUUUAUUUCCAAUUUGCUUUUUAUUGUGGGAAAAUACACAUAAAAUUUACCUUCUUAACUACUUUUAAGUGCACAGUUCAAUGGCAUUAAGUACACUCACAUUGUUGUGCAACCAUCUCCACUAUCUGUCUCCCAAACUCUUUUCCUCUUACAAAACCCUGUCCCCAUUAAACACUAACUCCCCAUUCCCCACUCCCCCAGCCCCUGGCAACCACAGUUCUACUUUCUACUGAAUUUCUAUGAAUUUUAUGAUUUUAAGUACCUUGUCUAAAUGGAAUGAUUUGUGGGCUUCCUUGGUGACUCAGUGGUAAAGAAUCCACCUGCCAAUGCAGGAAACGCGGGUUGGAUCCCUGGGUUGGGAAGAUCCCCUUGAGGAGGAAAUGGCAACCCACUCC
Molecule: long non-coding RNA, 1310 nt
Organism: Cervus elaphus (red deer)
Lineage: Eukaryota; Metazoa; Chordata; Mammalia; Artiodactyla; Cervidae
Exons: 3
Source: RefSeq, a predicted model, not a curated record